This 214-nucleotide long non-coding RNA is filed under the name Lathyrus oleraceus (garden pea). Its description in RNAcentral is "Pisum sativum (pea) long non-coding RNA (PSAT_LNC026164)". The record is from RNAcentral. Lineage: Eukaryota; Viridiplantae; Streptophyta; Magnoliopsida; Fabales; Fabaceae.
UGCUCAGCUAUGUUCUAUCAAGCUCAUAUCUAGGGUUUAAGACCCUUAAUGCAAGGAGCUCAAUCAAGAAAAGGUUUACAUUGGACCUAAGUAUCAUAUAUGGAUCCCCAUGUUCUUCACAUGAUAUUUUGAUCAAGAAAUCAUUAGGAGUUUGGAGUUUGUUUGCCUUGGAAACCCUAAUUUAUCUAGGUAUCUUAUGUGACUUCUUCAACAA